This 417-nucleotide long non-coding RNA is filed under the name Mustela putorius furo (domestic ferret). RNAcentral's name for it is "lncRNA (ENSMPUG00000023849.1)". The record is from RNAcentral. Lineage: Eukaryota; Metazoa; Chordata; Mammalia; Carnivora; Mustelidae.
GCCCACGAAAUCCUUCCAACCCUCUCACUUGUCUCCAAUCUCUCACUUGUCUUCCCAGGCCCAUUGGGAGAGCUCUUCUUGAAGUCAGAGACAGAGCAGUGGGAACUGAGACUUCUUCCCAUCCUGUGCCGUUUGUCCCCAGACCACUGUCCCUCUGGGUCAUGUCCUCCUGCUUCAUAUGAAGCAACAGAAUGCACCGGGAGGUUCGGUCACGGGUCCCAAGUCACACAGCAAGUAAUUAGCAGAGAAGAAAUUCGAACCCGUGAUGCUGACUCAGAAUCUGACUCGAGAACAUGCAGGUCCUUAAAAGUAAACCUGAAACUAUGUAAAAUUACAUACUACAUGGAAAUAAUUGUAUAAGGCUUGGGUGGUGGAAUUUUAAUUAUGGUGUUUUCCUUUCCUUUCCUUUUAUUUUCU